GUCGCGAAUCUUUCGCAAUGCCCGAAAGGGUGACGAAGCGACGCCGCGUGUGGGAAGAAGGCCUUCGGGUUGUAAACCACUGUCGGGAGUUAGGAAAUGCAGGUGCGUUAAUAGCGCACUUGCUUGACUAAGGCUCCAGAGGAAGCCACGGCUAACUCUGUGCCAGCAGCCGCGGUAAUACAGAGGCGGCAAGCGUUGUUCGGAAUUAUUGGGCGUAAAGAGCACGUAGGCGGCCUUGCAAGUCAGUUGUGAAAGCCUUCCGCUUAACGGAAGAACGGCAUCUGAUACUACAGGGCUUGAGUACGGGAGGGGAGAGUGGAACUUCUGGUGGAGCGGUGAAAUGCGUAGAUAUCAGAAGGAACGCCGGCGGCGAAAGCGACUCUCUGGUCCGAAACUGACGCUGAGUGUGCGAAAGCUAGGGGAGCAAACGGGAUUAGAUACCCUAGUAGUCC
This 452-nucleotide ribosomal RNA is filed under the name uncultured bacterium. Its description in RNAcentral is "bacterial SSU rRNA". It matches the Rfam family "Bacterial small subunit ribosomal RNA", at positions 354 to 796 of the family's 1533-position model. The record is from RNAcentral.